UACGUAGGGGGCAAGCGUUGUCCGGAUUUAUUGGGCGUAAAGAGCGUGUAGGCGGCUUUACAGGUCCGUUGUGAAAACUCGAGGCUCAACCUCGAGACGCCGGUGGAAACCGUAAAGCUAGAGUCCGGAAGAGGAGAGUGGAAUUCCUGGUGUAGCGGUGAAAUGUGCAGAUAUCAGGAAGAACACCCGUGGCGAAGGCGGCUCUCUGGGACGGUACUGACGCUGAGACGCGAAAGCGUGGGGAGCGAACAGG
This 253-nucleotide ribosomal RNA is filed under the name uncultured bacterium. RNAcentral describes it as "partial 16S ribosomal RNA". It matches the Rfam family "Bacterial small subunit ribosomal RNA", at positions 524 to 776 of the family's 1533-position model. The record is from RNAcentral.